Molecule: transfer RNA, 68 nt
Filed under: Cronartium quercuum f. sp. banksianae CqE3WM
Lineage: Eukaryota; Fungi; Basidiomycota; Pucciniomycetes; Pucciniales; Coleosporiaceae
Description: tRNA-Ile (AAT) (tRNA-Ile-AAT-5-1)
Source: RNAcentral
GGGGUGUCAGUUGGUAGAGUGUGGUACUAAUUAUGCCAAGGUCAUGGGUUCGAGCCCCAUAUGGAUCA